GACGAACGCUGGCGGCGUGCUUAACACAUGCAAGUCGAACGGAAAGGCCCUGCUUUUGUGGGGUGCUCGAGUGGCGAACGGGUGAGUAACACGUGAGUAACCUGCCCUUGACUUUGGGAUAACUUCAGGAAACUGGGGCUAAUACCGGAUAGGAGCUCCUGCUGCAUGGUGGGGGUUGGAAAGUUUCGGCGGUUGGGGAUGGACUCGCGGCUUAUCAGCUUGUUGGUGGGGUAGUGGCUUACCAAGGCUUUGACGGGUAGCCGGCCUGAGAGGGUGACCGGCCACAAUGGGACUGAGGUACGGCCCCGACUCCUACGGGAGGCAGCAGGGGGGAAUAUUGCACAAUGGGCGGAAGCCUGAUGCAGCAACGCCGCGUGCGGGAUGACGGCCUUCGGGUUGGAAACCGCUUUCGCCUGUGACGAAGCGUGAGUGACGGUAAUGGGUAAAGAAGCACCGGCUAACUACGUG
This 468-nucleotide ribosomal RNA is filed under the name uncultured bacterium. Its description in RNAcentral is "partial 16S ribosomal RNA". It matches the Rfam family "Bacterial small subunit ribosomal RNA", at positions 28 to 507 of the family's 1533-position model. The record is from RNAcentral.